RNAcentral lists this ribosomal RNA (113 nucleotides) under Chrysemys picta bellii (western painted turtle). Lineage: Eukaryota; Metazoa; Chordata; Testudines; Emydidae. The record is from RNAcentral.
AUAAUCAGGAAUCUAACCAUGUGAACUUGCACUCCCGUCAGAUCUCACAAGCUAAGCAUGGUCAGGUCAAGUUCUGGGAUAGGAGACCACCAAGGCAUCACUACAUGGUGCUG